RNAcentral lists this ribosomal RNA (492 nucleotides) under uncultured bacterium. RNAcentral describes it as "partial 16S ribosomal RNA". It matches the Rfam family "Bacterial small subunit ribosomal RNA", at positions 29 to 507 of the family's 1533-position model. The record is from RNAcentral.
AGUGAACGCUGGCGGUAGGCCUAACACAUGCAAGUCGAACGGCAGCACAGUAAGAGCUUGCUCUUACGGGUGGCGAGUGGCGGACGGGUGAGGAAUACAUCGGAAUCUACUUUUUCGUGGGGGAUAACGUAGGGAAACUUACGCUAAUACCGCAUACGACCUACGGGUGAAAGCAGGGGAUCUUCGGACCUUGCGCGAUUGAAUGAGCCGAUGUCGGAUUAGCUAGUUGGCGGGGUAAAGGCCCACCAAGGCGACGAUCCGUAGCUGGUCUGAGAGGAUGAUCAGCCACACUGGAACUGGGACACGGUCCAGACCCCUACGGGAGGCAGCAGUGGGGAAUAUUGGACAAUGGGCGCAAGCCUGAUCCAGCCAUACCGCGUGGGUGAAGAAGGCCUUCGGGUUGUAAAGCCCUUUUGUUGGGAAAGAAAAGCAGCAGGUUAAUACCCCGCUGUUCUGACGGUACCCAAAGAAUAAGCACCGGCUAACUUCGUG